This 89-nucleotide ribosomal RNA is filed under the name Shewanella sp. 4t3-1-2LB. RNAcentral describes it as "partial 16S ribosomal RNA". It matches the Rfam family "Bacterial small subunit ribosomal RNA", at positions 1445 to 1533 of the family's 1533-position model. The record is from RNAcentral. Lineage: Bacteria; Pseudomonadati; Pseudomonadota; Gammaproteobacteria; Alteromonadales; Shewanellaceae.
GGGGGGCGGUUACCACUUUGUGGAUCAUGACUGGGGUGAAGUCGUAACAAGGUAGCCCUAGGGGAACCUGGGGCUGGAUCACCUCCUUA